UACGGGAGGCGACAGUAGGGAAUCUUGCGCAAUGGGCGAAAGCCUGACGCAGCGACGCCGCGUGAGGGAUGAAGGCCUUUGGGUCGUAAACCUCUGUCGGAGGGGAAGAAAUUUUGACGGUACCCUCCAAGGAAGCCCCGGCUAACCUACGUGCCAGCAGCCGCGGUAAUA
This 171-nucleotide ribosomal RNA is filed under the name uncultured bacterium. Its description in RNAcentral is "partial 16S ribosomal RNA". It matches the Rfam family "Bacterial small subunit ribosomal RNA", at positions 340 to 525 of the family's 1533-position model. The record is from RNAcentral.